Molecule: ribosomal RNA, 261 nt
Filed under: uncultured bacterium
Lineage: Bacteria
Description: partial 16S ribosomal RNA
Rfam family: Bacterial small subunit ribosomal RNA
Source: RNAcentral
GCAAGUCGAGCGCGAACGUGACUUCGGUCACUAGUAGAGCGGCGAACGGGUGAGUAACACGUGGACAACCUGCCUGGAUGUGGGAACAACGCAGGGAAACCGGAGCUAAUACGGCAUACGUUACUAGAUCGCGAGUUCUAGGAAGAAAGGCAGCCAAUCCUUGGAAGCGGUCGCAUUCAGAGGGGUCCGCGGCUGAUUAGCUAGUUGGUGGGGUAACGGCCCACCAAGGCGACGAUCAGUAACCGGCCUGAGAGGGUGAAC